RNAcentral lists this long non-coding RNA (2021 nucleotides) under Theobroma cacao (cacao). Its description in RNAcentral is "long non-coding RNA (TCAC_LNC000518)". Lineage: Eukaryota; Viridiplantae; Streptophyta; Magnoliopsida; Malvales; Malvaceae. The record is from RNAcentral.
GGCCAAAGCAUGAAGUGAAGAGGAAAGGAAAGAACACAAACCCUAGGUGGGAAAACUGAAGAAAAAGUGUGGGAUUUCAAGGGAUUAAGCUGAUAAAGGUAAAAAUUUUGUGAUUUUAUCUUGUGAUUUACACUAACCAUGCUUUCUUUUUCAUUUUUCAUGCUUAGAACUCAAGUUUGCAUAAUGAACCCAUGCUGGCCAAAUUUGAGAUGAGAAGUUUUUAGCAUUGAUUUUGCUAGAUUUCAAGCUAAUUAAGUGUUUUUGGCUGUUUGGUAAUGGAAAGUAUAAAAAUCUAGCAAUGAAUCACUUUGUUCUUCACAAACCCACAAGAGGCCGAAUUUUCUAGGGAGGAUAUUGAGGCUGAAAUUAAUGAUAUUUCAUGAUAAAUUGGGGGUAUUUAAUGAUUGGUGAGGCUAGAAAUUUAAUGAAAAAUUUUAGCAUGAAAAUCUAAAUUUUUACCUAAUGUAUAGACAUGUGCGAUUUAUGGUUCGGACCGAUAAAUUGAAUCAUAUUCACAGUCAUUGAGGUAUUUUAAGUAUAAUUGGAGUGUAAAAAGUGAAAGAAAUCAAUUUGGAGUUAAAUUGAAGGUUUUAGCCAAUUACACCGAAAAUAGUACGAAUUAGGUCGAAUACCGUAUUUAAACGGCUAUUCAGACAUUUUGCAUCACAUUUCAUGCAUUCAUAUAGAUUUAUAGAGCCUGAAAUAGUUUACGAUAAAUUGACACAAUUUAUUAAAAUUCGUGUCACGGAUGAUGUAUAGGUGGUAAGCCCUCUAACAAGGGUAAAGAGAUUGUGCCCCGAAGACUGGGAAUAGGAGUAUAUCGAACUCCUAGUACAGUGAGUAACCUUACUAUCGUCUUAAUUAUCUAAAGUGAUUUUUAUCCAAUUUUGUGAUUUUAUGAAAAAUGAGUUAAAUGGUAAAUCCUUAUGUUUUGUAAUUAAAAUGUGAUUUAAUAAAAUGAUUUUGUAAAUUGUCUUGAAAUGAAAUGAUGGUUUGGAAAAUAGAGUAAUUGAAGACUGUUUUCAUAUGUUGUAAAUUCAUGGUUUAAAUUGAAUGACUUAUGACAAUAUUGGCAUGAAUGGCUAAAUUGGUAUUUGUGUUGAAAUGUAUAAAUUAUUGUUUGCCUUGAGAGGCUGUAAAAUAAAAUAAUUGUCAUGUUAUUGCAAAAUUUUAUUAUAUGGUGGGUUUAGCUAGCUGCAGUGGGCUGGUUCUAUGGACUAGCCUAUUAGAGGGGCACGAAACCUGGUCAUAUUCAUACCUCAAUAUGAGAGGCGCGGAUGGAUAACUCCUGAGGUUAACACUUUAAAGUUCGCUUCACGCCAAACCACCACGUGAGGGUGAACUCGACCAACGCCAAGGAACGGCUAUGUUUUCAAAAUAGAAACAUGAUUUUAUGCGUACAUAACUUUUUAACAGCCUUGGCGGACUCGAUUGGGAUAGCCCUCGGCUAAGGUAUCCCUGAUAACUAAGUAUGAGAAAGAUUUUUGGCACAAGCCAAGCUUUUCAGGAAAUCAUAAGCCUAGUUGUUUAUUUGGUUGAAAUGAGUUGAAAGGUAAUGAAAUUAUAGUAUGAUGACUUAUUUUAAUUGUCUCCAUUUACUCAACUUUAGAUGGUUUAGAUGGUAUCUGUUUACUCACUGGAAUUUUAUAAUCUCACCACCCUCCUUUUCAACCAUUUCAGGCCUGAGGUAGCCUGUGGAUAGUAGAUAUCGUCAAGGAUUAUAGUCGGCUUUACUACUCCAAAAACUGUAGGUUUACUGUCUUUGUGCACUUUUGUUGCUUGUGGGCCCACGAGUCACUAUAAAGUAAAUUUUAUAUCCCGGUUAUCUGUAUUAUAGUAUGAAUGAAUUUAUUUAGCUUUUACAUUACAAAAAUUAUUUACCAAUGACUCUAUAAAUAUUGUUUUACAAGAAGUUAGAAUUUUUUAUUGAAUAUUUUUAUUUUAUUCAAAUAGUUGCAAUAUCAUUUUUAAUAAAUGUUUUAGACACCCAAAUUUAUUCUAAAUCAUGAAAUAUGUGUUUU